RNAcentral lists this ribosomal RNA (216 nucleotides) under Pleuronectes quadrituberculatus (Alaska plaice). RNAcentral describes it as "partial large subunit ribosomal RNA". The record is from RNAcentral. Lineage: Eukaryota; Metazoa; Chordata; Actinopteri; Pleuronectiformes; Pleuronectidae.
CCCCCAGCUAAGGGCCUGAACUAAAUGGAACCUGCCUUGAUGUCUUCGGUUGGGGCGACCAUGGGGAAUACAAAACCCCCACGUGGAAAGGGAGCACACCCCUAAGUUACUUCUUCUCCCGCAAGCCAGAGCAACAGCUCUAACAAGCAGAAAUUCUGACCAAACUGAUCCGGUAAAACCGAUCAACGAACCAAGUUACCAUAGGGAUAACAGCGA